GUGCUUGCUUCUACAGCACGUAUACUAAAAUUGAAACGAUACAGAGAUUAGCAUGGCCCUGUGCAAGGAUUACACACAAAUUCAUGAAGCGUUCCACAUUAAU
Ursus americanus (American black bear) is the source of this 103-nucleotide small nuclear RNA. Lineage: Eukaryota; Metazoa; Chordata; Mammalia; Carnivora; Ursidae. The record is from Ensembl.